UACCAGCACCCCGAGUGGUCGGGACGUUUACUGGGCCUAAAGCAUCCGUAGCCGGUUCUACAAGUCUUCCGUUAAAUCCACCUGCUUAACAGAUGGGCUGCGGAGGAUACUAUAGAGCUAGGAGGCGGGAGAGGCAAGCGGUACUUAGUGGGUAGGGGUAAAAUCCGUUGAUCCAUUGAAGACCACCAGUGGCGAAGGCGGCUUGCCAGAACGCACUCGACGGUGAGGGAUGAAAGCUGGGGGAGCAAACCGG
RNAcentral lists this ribosomal RNA (253 nucleotides) under uncultured bacterium. RNAcentral's name for it is "partial 16S ribosomal RNA". It matches the Rfam family "Archaeal small subunit ribosomal RNA", at positions 474 to 727 of the family's 1478-position model. The record is from RNAcentral.